RNAcentral lists this ribosomal RNA (254 nucleotides) under uncultured prokaryote. RNAcentral describes it as "partial 16S ribosomal RNA". It matches the Rfam family "Bacterial small subunit ribosomal RNA", at positions 524 to 776 of the family's 1533-position model. The record is from RNAcentral.
UACAGAGACUGCAAGCGUUAUUCGGAUUCACUGGGCGUAAAGGGCGCGUAGGCGGCCACCGCAAGUCGGUUGUGAAAUCUCUGGGCUUAACCCAGAAAGGUCAACCGAUACUGCGGGGCUAGAGUGCAGAAGGGGCAACUGGAAUUCUCGGUGUAGCGGUGAAAUGCGUAGAUAUCGAGAGGAACACCUGCGGCGAAGGCGGGUUGCUGGGCUGACACUGACGCUGAAGCGCGAAAGCUAGGGGAGCGAACGGG